GGGUCAGUAGGUUGGUCGUGCCACCGGUACGUACUGGUCUCACUGAUUCCUCCUUCCUGAAGAACCGUAACGCCAUUAAUUUGGUGUUGCGGGGAAACAGGACUGUUACUUUGAAAAAAUUAGAGUGUUUAAAGCAAGCUAACGCUUGAAUACAUUAGCAUGGAAUAAUGAAAUAGGACGAUCGAUCCUAUUUUGUUGGUUUCUAGGAUUGACGUG
This 216-nucleotide ribosomal RNA is filed under the name Glomeromycotina sp. Its description in RNAcentral is "partial small subunit ribosomal RNA". The stretch from base 75 to 216 matches the Rfam family "Eukaryotic small subunit ribosomal RNA", at positions 721 to 864 of the family's 1831-position model. The record is from RNAcentral. Lineage: Eukaryota; Fungi; Glomeromycota.